AUUGAACGCUGGCGGCAGGCCUAACACAUGCAAGUCGAGCGGAUGAAGGGAGCUUGCUCCUGGAUUCAGCGGCGGACGGGUGAGUAAUGCCUAGGAAUCUGCCUGGUAGUGGGGGAUAACGUCCGGAAACGGGCGCUAAUACCGCAUACGUCCUGAGGGAGAAAGUGGGGGAUCUUCGGACCUCACGCUAUCAGAUGAGCCUAGGUCGGUUUAGCUAGUUGGUGGGGUAAAGGCCUACCAAGGCGACGAUCCGUAACUGGUCUGAGAGGAUGAUCAGUCACACUGGAACUGAGACACGGUCCAGACUCCUACGGGAGGCAGCAGUGGGGAAUAUUGGACAGUGGGCGAAAGCCUGAUCCAGCCGUGCCGCGUGUGUGAAGAAGGUCUUCGGAUUGUAAAGCACUUUAAGUUGGGAGGAAGGGCAGUAAGUUAAUACCUUGCUGUUUUGACGUUACCAACAGAAUAAGCACCGGCUAACUUCGUG
RNAcentral lists this ribosomal RNA (484 nucleotides) under uncultured bacterium. Its description in RNAcentral is "partial 16S ribosomal RNA". It matches the Rfam family "Bacterial small subunit ribosomal RNA", at positions 30 to 507 of the family's 1533-position model. The record is from RNAcentral.